UAGAGCUCAAAUUGUCUGUUUCUCCACUUGGCGCCCCUUCCCUUUCCUUGAGUAGCAAAACCCACUGACUGUGAACUUCUUCAGGCCAGGACUUUUCCUUGUUCUGGCAUCCCCAGAACCAAGCACGAUGCCAGCUUCCGGCUGCUGCUUUUAGUAUUUGUUAAAGGAAUGAACAGCUCUUCUCAAAGCUCCCAAUCAUACCUCGAUGUAGAGGACUGAAAACAGCUGAGAGCUUUGCCUCUUCUCCUGGGACAUCAGUAUUUUAAAAACAGAUCAAAGCGACAUGGAAGAAGUUCAAUUACAUUGAAUGGUAGAGUUCCAGACAGCAUUUGAUCCUUUCCUUUGAGCAAAGGACCUUCUCUAUCCCUAAAACCAAAUCACAGAAGCCUGUGGCCUGUCAGGGCUGCUGGAAAUGGUGGUUUCAGACUCUUGCUUGGGAGCAUGACACUGAAAACAGAAAUAGCUUCCAGAAGACUUCAGAUAAGUUCAUGGAUAAUAGAGCCAAAAAUGAUCACUAAAAGGGAAGUCAGAAAGAUUCAGAGCUCCAUCUUUAGACAGGUAAAAUCUGAUUGAACAACAGCAGCUGCCUUCAUCAAGGGAGCCUGGAGAGCAAACAGCGGAAAAACAGUCAUCUGGCAACAUGUUGCAGGAAAAAGACAUUACAAAAGAAUAACAAGCUUGAGGUAUGCCAGGAGG
Molecule: long non-coding RNA, 696 nt
Organism: Homo sapiens (human)
Lineage: Eukaryota; Metazoa; Chordata; Mammalia; Primates; Hominidae
Exons: 3
Source: RefSeq, a predicted model, not a curated record